Long non-coding RNA from Triticum dicoccoides, 2406 nucleotides. RefSeq lists it as uncharacterized. NCBI's taxonomy places the organism in Eukaryota, Viridiplantae, Streptophyta, Magnoliopsida, Poales, Poaceae. The transcript is spliced from 6 exons. The record is from RefSeq and is a predicted model, not a curated record.
CUCCCACCCACCUGUCCAACCGGCGGCACCGCAUCUCGUUGCAGCGGCAAGCUCGACGGCGACCCGGACCUCACCUAACUGACGGCGGCGACGGCGAACGACGCCAAGGCUUCCAGAUCUGGCGGACGGCGGCCCUCUCCUUCCGACUUCCGUCGGUCCCAGGACCCAGAGGUCCCUCCGCUUCCUCCGUCGGCCGUGCGGGUACGGCCCUGCCUUCCGGCUGUAGUUCGGCGUCCGCGGUGGCGCACUUCCGCUGCUCCGAUUGUCCAGUUCGUAGUCUGGGCGCUAGAAGCCCCAAAAGAUCCAUCUACUGAUCGUAAUUUCAUCUGCUGAUCGUAAUUUCAUCUACUGAUCUACAACUCUGUACAAGGUAAUUUCUCUGCUUUUUUUUUAACAAACCACAGGUUUUUUUUAGCUUCUAAUGGGCAUGCUUCUGAUUCCUACGUCUUGUAAUUGCAAUUGAUUGCUUUCACUAAUGAACAAGACCUGUAUUACUCUUGUUGCGCUGCUCUGAUUUUGUAUACUGCUGUAUACUUCGAAGUGUUUUUGCUGGUGGGUUUAACCGAACAGAGAUUAGGUGAGAGGGAUUAAUCCCUCUAGCGGAAUGAUUCCACGUGGGGGUUGGGUGGCGACACCAAAACCCUGCAGGUAUUAGAUCCACUAGUGGAUAUAAUCUCUUGGAACCGAACAUAGCCUGAGCGGGUUGUUGUCUGUCAGCGCCUGUUACUCCGGUAGAUGGUUUUAUGUUGCAGAAAAGCAGGGUAAUACUGGCCUCAAGCCAUGGGUCGGUGCCGUCCAGCGGCGCCGUCGUGGACGGACGGUGCGGCUGAUAAGUACACUGAUAGUCCUCUUUGUCUUGCGGAUGGAGAGAACCUGGCACUGCCGCCAUGGCUCUUCCGUCUCAAGCCUCUCCCUCAUGUUGCAGAUUUGAUUGGUUGGCUGUUCACUCCUAAUUUGUGUUAAGCUGCUACUGCUGCUGCAGUGGCACAUUAUGGAACAAAGGACAUGAAUAUAUGUGAUCCACAGUAUGUUUGCUCAACAUGUUCGCUCAAGCAUGUUGAUUAGAGGCUGCACUGACUUGCAUUAGACGCGGACCAGCUGACUGUUGUUCAUAAUAAGCUGAUUAAUGUUGCAUUUGAGCAGGCAUUAUUUGAGCUACCAGAGAAGUUUAAAGAAUGCUAAAAGGAAUACACUCUAAACCCGGGGAGAAGGCUUAUGUUGCACGAAGAAACAAGAAACAUGUUUGAUUUGCAGGGUGAUUCUGCACUAAUUAUUCAGUUUGUUGUCUUUCCAAUCCAGAAGAACUAAGUGCUUGAUUUGGAUAAGCCAUGGUGACACCAGCUCCCAGCCAUAGUGAUUUGUAAUUUGACAGAACUUAUCCCUGGUUGCGUAAUGGAGAAAUCAGGGAUGCCUAAGAUCAGUGAUGAGGCGGAGGCAUGCGCUUGUCCUCUCAGCCCUUGUUUUGAUGCCAUGGUGCCUUUCACUUCCGUCCGCCUCUAGCUGGCGCUGGAUGCACCUAUCCCUUUCCGCACCGCAUCCAUGUUGCGGUACAACACCACUAAUAUCUCACGAAAUUGUUGGACCAGUUCUAAACUUGAUUAGUGGUCGAAGACAAAAAACUUUUGUCUCAUGUUCAUAACCUUGGAGGAGGGAAACAUCAAAAGUUCAUUAGUGCAGGACUGUGCCGGGUAGCAUGUGAGGCCCCAACCGACACGGUCGUGCACCAAAGGCCCAGUACACAUAGACGCUACCUCCUGGACUGUGGCCGCUGCGUCUCCUAGGACUAUUUAGGUAACCUUUUCUAAAAUAAAGGCAAAUUGAAUUUUCUUCCAAUCCCACAUGAAUGUCAGUAAUAAGUAAGCUACUGGUAAUGCAAAUCUUCAGUGUCCAGUUUUUUUGGUAAUGGAACAUUUAGACCUACAUAUUAGAUUCCAGGAGAACAUGAUGCGAGCAGCACUUGCACAAGCAUGUGUGGUUAGAUAUUUGUUCAAAGGAAUCAUUACAAGAAAAUGUGAAAGAAGAAGGUUUGGGAAGGAUAUGAAAGGAAGCAUUGAUAUUCACGAUGGAGUGCUGGUUAUAGGAUGACAGCCGACUAGAGGAUGAGGGUCGCUUUCUUUCUGUUGAUUAAAGAUCUGGUGGAUUCUCCCGAUGCCAACUAUUCUAUUAUUGGUAUGUGACCUGCACAUGCUAUGGUUAGAUGCACUUCUAAUUUUCUCUCAUGCGUAUACAGAUUUUAUUUAUCGAUUUACCACUAAUUUCCACUACAGCCUGAGUAUUGAUCUCAUGCAUGCUUAUACAUAAUUACUAUUGAUUUACAGCCAUUUGUGAUUACCUUGCACUGUAAUACAACAACAACAAAGCCUUUAGUCCCAAACAAGUUGGGGUAGGCUAUUACUUUGCACUGUA